Molecule: ribosomal RNA, 493 nt
Filed under: uncultured bacterium
Lineage: Bacteria
Description: partial 16S ribosomal RNA
Rfam family: Bacterial small subunit ribosomal RNA
Source: RNAcentral
AUUGAACGCUGGCGGCAUGCCUUACACAUGCAAGUCGAACGGUAACAGGUUAAGCUGACGAGUGGCGAACGGGUGAGUAAUGUAUCGGAACGUGCACAGUCGUGGGGGAUAACGUAGCGAAAGCUACGCUAAUACCGCAUACGGUCUACGGAUGAAAGCGGGGGAUCGCAAGACCUCGCGCGAUUGGAGCGGCCGAUAUCAGAUUAGGUUGUUGGUGAGGUAAAAGAUCACCAAGCCUGCGAUCUGUAGCUGGUCUGAGAGGACGACUAGCCACACUGGAAAUGAGACACGGUCCAGACUCCUACGGGAGGCAGCAGUGGGGAAUUUUGGACAAUGGACGCAAGUCUGAUCCAGCAAUGCCGCGUGCAGGACGAAGGCCUUCGGGUUGUAAACUGCUUUUGUACGGAACGAAACGGUGAGCUCUAAUACAGUUUGCUAAUGACGGUACCGUAAGAAUAAGCACCGGCUAACUACGUGCCAGCCGCCGCGGUAA